GUGUUAGCUAAUACCGCAUACGAGUCUUAGGGGCAUCCCCAGGACUUAAAAGGAGCAAUCCGCUCGAUGACGGGACCGCGUCCCAUUAGCUAGAUGGUGGGGUAAUGGCCUACCAUGGCACCGAUGGGUAGCUGGUUUGAGAGAGCGACCAGCCACACUGGGACUGAGAAACGGCCCAGACUCCUACGGGAGGCAGCAGUGAGGAAUUUUCCGCAAUGGGCGAAAGCCUGACGGAGCGACGCCGCGUGUGGGAAGAAGGCCUUCGGGUCGUAAACCACUGUCGAAGGGGACGAUAAUGACGGUACCCUUGGAGGAAGCCCCGGCUAACUACGUGCCAGCAGCCGCGGUAAGACGUAGGGGGCGAGCGUUAUUCGGAAUUAUUGGGCGUAAAGCGCUCGUAGGCGGGAUCGAUAGUCCGUGAAGAAAGACCUGGGCUCAACUCAGGGAACGGCACGGAUACUACGA
RNAcentral lists this ribosomal RNA (465 nucleotides) under uncultured Bacillaceae bacterium. RNAcentral describes it as "bacterial SSU rRNA". It matches the Rfam family "Bacterial small subunit ribosomal RNA", at positions 156 to 638 of the family's 1533-position model. Lineage: Bacteria; Bacillati; Bacillota; Bacilli; Caryophanales; Bacillaceae. The record is from RNAcentral.